AUGUUUUAUUUGUUAGCAUAGCAUGAUAUUAGAUUUAAACACUUAAUACAUUUUUAAAUCAAUCACUUUGUCUCUGUUUACAUUAGUUAAUGCACAAUGAACAUUAUCAAAUAUUAUUAAUGUUGUAAAAUAUAUUGUUCAUUGUUAGUUCAUAUUAGCUAAGGCAUUACCAAAUGUUAAGGAAUAAACUCUUAUAGUAAAGUGUUACUAAAUUUUCUUUUACCAUUUCCUUCACAAUGUCUAUUUAUUUCUAUGGCUAACAGAUUUUGUAACAUUUGUCUUUUUUACAGUCUUACCAUUGCUUGUAAGCUGGAUUGGGUAAGAUGGAUCAUCUUUAAAGGCACCAGGAGUUAAGGCAGAUGUGGAGGCACAACGGGUGAUACCAGACACACACCAAGCACAUUAUGUUCGGACAUUCAAUCAUGACAGGAUCCAGGUGGAUGCUGUCCAUUGAGAAAAGAGUUUGUUCAGCGGUUUCUGGAUAGAAUUAAUUCCAAAGAUGGGAAAAAGUGCACAUCCAGACAAGGAGCAAGCAAAUAGACAAGGAACUUGGUGCAGAGAAAAGCUGUGGCCAUUAACCCCCAUGUGAACAGCUUCAUGCAGUCCCUGAUUGAGUUCGAAUGGACGACUUCAAAGUAAAGGCCACUGUGGUCUGUCUGCCACAGUUUAAUGCAUUUAUUUUUAGUGUUAAAUGAAAUUCAAGUAGAAUAUUUAAAACUAUGGGCCAGUGUUCUUUUUACCACAGUGAAAUGUUACCUUUUAGUCGAUGAUGGACUUUAAACUGAAAACUUCAAACUAUGGAACAGUGUUCUAUUUGCCAGAGUUAAAUAUGUUACAGCA
Molecule: non-coding RNA, 840 nt
Organism: Paramisgurnus dabryanus
Lineage: Eukaryota; Metazoa; Chordata; Actinopteri; Cypriniformes; Cobitidae
Source: RefSeq, a predicted model, not a curated record